UGUAAGCGUAUACCAAAGUUGUUGCAGUUAAAACGCUCGUAGUCGGAAUUUGGCAGUUCCGGAUGUGUGCACGUCGUGUGCGUACUUCGCGGGGAUUGCUUUUGUGGUCUUGCGUAGGAUGAGGCACUUUUAUUAGUGAACGUCCUCACGCAACCACUUUUUACUGUGAGAAAAUCAGAGUGCUCAAAGCAGGCAUUUGCCGUGAAUGUAUUAGCAUGGAAUAAUAGAAUAGGACUUGGUUCUAUUUUGUUGGUUUGUUGGGACUGAGUAAUGAUUAAGAGGGACAGUUGGGGGCAUUUGUAUUUCGGUGCUAGAGGUGAAAUUCUUAGAUUACCGAAAGACAAACUGCUGCGAAAGCGUCUGCCAAGGAUGUUUUCAUUGA
RNAcentral lists this ribosomal RNA (382 nucleotides) under uncultured eukaryote. RNAcentral describes it as "partial 18S ribosomal RNA". It matches the Rfam family "Eukaryotic small subunit ribosomal RNA", at positions 592 to 976 of the family's 1831-position model. The record is from RNAcentral.